AUUGAACGCUGGCGGCAUGCUUUACACAUGCAAGUCGAACGGCCGCGCGGGCUUCGGCCUUGCGGCGAGUGGCGAACGGGUGAGUAAUACAUCGGAACGUGCCCAGUUGUGGGGGAUAGCUCGGCGAAAGCCGGAUUAAUACCGCAUACGACCUGAGGGUGAAAGCGGGGGAUCUUUGGACCUCGCGCUAUUGGAGCGGCCGAUGGCAGAUUAGCUAGUUGGUGGGGUAAAGGCCUACUAAGGCGACGAUCUGUAGCUGGUCUGAGAGGACGACCAGCCACACGGGGUCUGAGACACGGCCCAGACUCCUACGGGAGGCAGCAGUGGGAAAUUUUGGAAAAGGGGCGAAAGCCUGAUCCAGCAAUGCCGCGAGGGUAAAGAAGGCCUGCGGGUUGUAAAGCACUUUUGGCGGGAACGAAAAGGACUGUGCCAAUACCACGGUUCGAGGACGGAACCCGCAGAAUAAGCACCGGCUAACUACGU
Molecule: ribosomal RNA, 483 nt
Filed under: uncultured bacterium
Lineage: Bacteria
Description: partial 16S ribosomal RNA
Rfam family: Bacterial small subunit ribosomal RNA
Source: RNAcentral